CUGAGAGUUUGAUUCUGGCUCAGAACGAACGCUGGCGGCAGGCUUAACACAUGCAAGUCGAGCGGUAACAGGUCGCGACCUUUCGGGGUUCUGGACGGACG
This 101-nucleotide ribosomal RNA is filed under the name Pseudo-nitzschia fraudulenta. RNAcentral's name for it is "partial Bacterial small subunit ribosomal RNA". Lineage: Eukaryota; Bacillariophyta; Bacillariophyceae; Bacillariales; Bacillariaceae. The record is from RNAcentral.